Molecule: ribosomal RNA, 500 nt
Filed under: uncultured bacterium
Lineage: Bacteria
Description: partial 16S ribosomal RNA
Rfam family: Bacterial small subunit ribosomal RNA
Source: RNAcentral
GACGAACGCUGGCGGCGUGCCUAAUACAUGCAAGUCGAGCGGACUGAUUAAGAGCUUGCUCUUAUGACGUUAGCGGCGGACGGGUGAGUAACACGUGGGCAACCUGCCCUGUAGAUCGGGAUAACACCGAGAAAUCGGUGCUAAUACCGGGUAAUAUCUGAGAUCACAUGAUCUUAGGUUAAAAGAUGGCUCCGGCUAUCACUACAGGAUGGGCCCGCGGCGCAUUAGCUAGUUGGUAAGGUAAUGGCUUACCAAGGCGACGAUGCGUAGCCGACCUGAGAGGGUGAGAGGCCACACUGGGACUGAGACACGGCCAAGACGCCUACGGGAGGCAGCAGUAGGGAAUCUUCCGCAAUGGACGAAAGUAUGACGGAGCAACGCCGCGUGAGUGAUGAAGGGUUGCGGCUCGUAAAGCGAUGUUGUUAGGGAAGAAACAGUACCGAACGAACUAGGUCGGUACCUUGACGGUACCUAACCAGAAAGCCACGGCUAACUACGUG